AACGAACGCUGGCGGCAUGCCUAACACAUGCAAGUCGAACGAGACCUUCGGGUCUAGUGGCGCACGGGUGCGUAACGCGUGGGAACCUGCCCUUAGGUUCGGAAUAACUCCCCGAAAGGGGUGCUAAUACCGGAUAAUGUCUUCGGACCAAAGAUUUAUCGCCUUUGGAUGGGCCCGCGUUGGAUUAGCUAGUUGGUAGGGUAAAAGCCUACCAAGGCGACGAUCCAUAGCUGGUCUGAGAGGAUGAUCAGCCACACUGGGACUGAGACACGGCCCAGACUCCUACGGGAAGGAGGAGGGGGGAAUAUUGGAAAAUGGGCGAAAGGCUGAACCAGCCAAGCCGGGGGAAUGAUGAAGGCCUUAGGGUUGUAAAGCUCUUUUACCCGGGAUGAUAAUGACAGUACCGGGAGAAUAAGCUCCGGCUAACUCCGUG
This 433-nucleotide ribosomal RNA is filed under the name uncultured bacterium. Its description in RNAcentral is "partial 16S ribosomal RNA". It matches the Rfam family "Bacterial small subunit ribosomal RNA", at positions 29 to 507 of the family's 1533-position model. The record is from RNAcentral.